RNAcentral lists this ribosomal RNA (433 nucleotides) under uncultured bacterium. RNAcentral's name for it is "partial 16S ribosomal RNA". It matches the Rfam family "Bacterial small subunit ribosomal RNA", at positions 29 to 507 of the family's 1533-position model. The record is from RNAcentral.
AACGAACGCUGGCGGCAGGCUUAACACAUGCAAGUCGAACGCACCUUUCGGGGUGAGUGGCAGACGGGUGAGUAACGCGUGGGAAUCUACCCUUCUCUACGGGAUAGCUCCGGGAAACUGGAAUUAAUACCGUAUACGUCCUGAGGGAGAAAGAUUUAUCGGGGAAGGAUGAGCCCGCGUUGGAUUAGCUAGUUGGUGGGGUAAAGGCCUACCAAGGCGACGAUCCAUAGCUGGUCUAAGAGGAUGAUCAGCCACAUUGGGACUGAGACACGGCCCAAACUCCUACGGGAGGCAGCAGUGGGGAAUAUUGGACAAUGGGCGCAAGCCUGAUCCAGCCAUGCCGCGUGAGUGAUGAAGGCCCUAGGGUUGUAAAGCUCUUUCAGUGGGGACGAUAAUGACGGUACCCACAGAAGAAGUCCCGGCUAACUUCGUG